UACGUAGGCAGCAAGCGUUGUCCGGAUUUAUUGGGCGUAAAGAGCGUGUAGGCGGCCAUACAGGUCAGCUGUGAAAACUCGAGGCUCAACCUCGAGACGUCGGUUGAAACCGUAUGGCUAGAGUCCGGAAGAGGAGAGUGGAAUUCCCGGUGUAGCGGUGAAAUGCGCAGAUAUCGGGAAGAACACCCGUGGCGAAGGCGGCUCUCUGGGACGGUACUGACGCUGAGACGCGAAAGCGUGGGGAGCGAACAGG
This 253-nucleotide ribosomal RNA is filed under the name uncultured bacterium. RNAcentral describes it as "partial 16S ribosomal RNA". It matches the Rfam family "Bacterial small subunit ribosomal RNA", at positions 524 to 776 of the family's 1533-position model. The record is from RNAcentral.